UGGUGCUCGCUGAGAUAACAGCGAGGGCUUUGCUUCCUCGGGCUUUGCAGGAACAACAGCGAGCUCCCUGGACGUGGCCGAGUGGGAGAGCCUUCUGCUGAAGUUCCUGCAAACCUCUCUGGAGCUCAUUGCGAGCGAGGCCUGGACCGUGGGCCUGAGCCAGGAGCUGAGCCGGCAGCUGGGCAGCUCUCCCCGCCUGUCCUGGGAGAAGCGGUUCCUGUACAAGGCUCUCGGCACGGCCCUGGCAGCUUGUGGGUGUCUCCACCACGUGCAGGAGCAGACCUUGGAGCACCUGAAAGCAGCCAACUUCCUGGAGCUGUGGCAGGCGCAGGGCAUGGUUUCAGUUGUGUCCCGCUGUGCCGAGAGCCACUUCCAGCUGGCCUUGUCCUUGGUGAAGGAGUUCACGGGGACUUUGAAACGCAAGAAGAGCAAGGCAAGAAGGACCCGCGCUACUCGCGCUGCGCUGCUGGUGAUGUACGGCCGGAUGGCGCUGCGCGCCCCCAGGGAGCAGCUGCUCGCCCG
Dromaius novaehollandiae (emu) is the source of this 522-nucleotide long non-coding RNA. RefSeq lists it as uncharacterized. The record is from RefSeq and is a predicted model, not a curated record. The transcript is spliced from 5 exons. Lineage: Eukaryota; Metazoa; Chordata; Aves; Casuariiformes; Dromaiidae.